GGUGAAUAUUCCUGUACUUCUGGUUACUGCGAUGGAGGGACGGAGAAGGCUAGGCCAGCUUGGCGUUGGUUGUCCAAGUUUAAGGUGGUAGGCUGAAAUCUUAGGUAAAUCCGGGGUUUCAAGGCCGAGAGCUGAUGACGAGUCGUCUUUUAGAUGACGAAGUGGUUGAUGCCAUGCUUCCAAGAAAAGCUUCUAAGCUUCAGGUAACCAGGAACCGUACCCCAAACCGACACAGGUGGUCGGGUAGAGAAUACCAAGGCGCUUGAGAGAACUCGGGUGAAGGAACUAGGCAAAAUGGCACCGUAACUUCGGGAGAAGGUGCGCCGGCUAGGGUGAAGGAUUUACUCCGUAAGCUCUGGCUGGUCGAAGAUACCAGGCCGCUGCGACUGUUUAUUAAAAACACAGCACUCUGCAAACACGAAAGUGGACGUAUAGGGUGUGACGCCUGCCCGGUGCCGGAAGGUUAAUUGAUGGGGUUAGCGCAAGCGAAGCUCUUGAUCGAAGCCCCGGUAAACGGCGGCCGUAACUAUAACGGUCCUAAGGUAGCGAAAUUCCUUGUCGGGUAAGUUCCGACCUGCACGAAUGGCGUAACGAUGGCGGCGCUGUCUCCACCCGAGACUCAGUGAAAUUGAAAUCGCUGUGAAGAUGCAGUGUAUCCGCGGCUAGACGGAAAGACCCCGUGAACCUUUACUGUAGCUUUGCACUGGACUUUGAGCCUGCUUGUGUAGGAUAGGUGGGAGGCUUUGAAGCGUGGACGCCAGUUCGCGUGGAGCCAUCCUUGAAAUACCACCCUGGCAUGCUUGAGGUUCUAACUCUGGUCCGUAAUCCGGAUCGAGGACAGUGUAUGGUGGGCAGUUUGACUGGGGCGGUCUCCUCCUAAAGAGUAACGGAGGAGUACGAAGGUGCGCUCAGACCGGUCGGAAAUCGGUCGCAGAGUAUAAAGGCAAAAGCGCGCUUGACUGCGAGACAGACACGUCGAGCAGGUACGAAAGUAGGUCUUAGUGAUCCGGUGGUUCUGUAUGGAAGGGCCAUCGCUCAACGGAUAAAAGGUACUCCGGGGAUAACAGGCUGAUACCGCCCAAGAGUUCAUAUCGACGGCGGUGUUUGGCACCUCGAUGUCGGCUCAUCACAUCCUGGGGCUGA
RNAcentral lists this ribosomal RNA (1143 nucleotides) under Pseudomonas aeruginosa. RNAcentral's name for it is "bacterial LSU rRNA". It matches the Rfam family "Bacterial large subunit ribosomal RNA", at positions 1428 to 2556 of the family's 2925-position model. Lineage: Bacteria; Pseudomonadati; Pseudomonadota; Gammaproteobacteria; Pseudomonadales; Pseudomonadaceae. The record is from RNAcentral.